AUCCGCCUACGGGGGGCAGCAGUGGGGAAUAUUGCACAAUGGGGGAAACCCUGAUGCAGCGACGCCGCGUGAGUGAAGAAGUAAUUCGUUAUGUAAAGCUCUAUCGGCAGGGAAGAAAAUGACGGUACCUGAGUAAGAAGCCCCGGCUAACUACGUGCCAGCAGCCGCGGUAAUACGUAGGGGGCGAGCGUUAUCCGGAUUUACUGGGUGUAAAGGGAGCGUAGACGGCUGGUCAAGUCUGAAGUGAAAGCCCGGGGCUUAACCCCGGAACGGCUUUGGAAACUGAGCAGCUAGGGUGCUGGGGG
This 305-nucleotide ribosomal RNA is filed under the name uncultured bacterium. Its description in RNAcentral is "bacterial SSU rRNA". It matches the Rfam family "Bacterial small subunit ribosomal RNA", at positions 333 to 655 of the family's 1533-position model. The record is from RNAcentral.